GAUGAACGCUAGCUACAGGCUUAACACAUGCAAGUCGAGGGGAAACGACAGAGGAAGCUUGCUUCCUUUGGGCGUCGACCGGCGCACGGGUGAGUAACGCGUAUCCAACCUUCCCGCAAGUAAGGGAUAACCCGUAGAAAUGCGGCCUAAUACCUUAUGUUUUCCUUAGAGGGCAUCUGAUGAGGAACAAAGAUCCGUCGCUUGCGGAUGGGGAUGCGUCUGAUUAGUUAGUCGGCGGGGUAACGGCCCACCGAGACGACGAUCAGUAGGGGUUCUGAGAGGAAAGUCCCCCACAUUGGAACUGAGACACGGUCCAAACUCCUACGGGAGGCAGCAGUGAGGAAUAUUGGUCAAUGGGCGGAAGCCUGAACCAGCCAAGUAGCGUGCGAGGACGACGGCCCUAUGGGUUGUAAACUGCUUUAUGCGGGGAUAAAGU
RNAcentral lists this ribosomal RNA (436 nucleotides) under uncultured bacterium. RNAcentral's name for it is "bacterial SSU rRNA". It matches the Rfam family "Bacterial small subunit ribosomal RNA", at positions 28 to 451 of the family's 1533-position model. The record is from RNAcentral.